RNAcentral lists this ribosomal RNA (301 nucleotides) under uncultured bacterium. Its description in RNAcentral is "partial 16S ribosomal RNA". It matches the Rfam family "Bacterial small subunit ribosomal RNA", at positions 509 to 807 of the family's 1533-position model. The record is from RNAcentral.
CAGCAGCCGCGGUAAUACAGAGGGUGCGAGCGUUAAUCGGAUUUACUGGGCGUAAAGCGUGCGUAGGCGGCUAAUUGAGUCGGAUGUGAAAUCCCCGAGCUUAACUUGGGAAUUGCAUUCGAUACUGGUUAGCUAGAGUGUGGGAGAGGAUGGUAGAAUUCCAGGUGUAGCGGUGAAAUGCGUAAAGAUCUGGAGGAAUACCGAUGGCGAAGGCAGCCAUCUGGCCUAACACUGACGCUGAGGUACGAAAGCAUGGGGAGCAAACAGGAUUAGAUACCCGUGUAGUCCCUGUCUCUUAUAC